GACGAACGCUGGCGGCGUGCUUAACACAUGCCAGUCGAACGGAAAGGCCCUGCUUUUGUGGGGUGCUCGAGUGGCGAACGGGUGAGUAACACGUGAGUAACCUGCCCUUGACUUUGGGAUAACUUCAGGAAACUGGGGCUAAUACCGGAUAGGAGCUCCUGCUGCAUGGUGGGGGUUAGAAAGUUUCGGCGGUUGGGGAUGGACUCGCGGCUUAUCAGCUUGUUGGUGGGGUAGUGGCUUACCAAGGCUUUGACGGGUAGCCGGCCUGAGAGGGGGAACGGCCACAUUGGGACUGAGAGACGGCGCAGACUCCUACGGGAGGCAGCAGUGGGGAAUAUUGCACAAUGGGCGGAAGCCUGAUGCAGCAACGCCGCGUGCGGGAUGACGGCCUUCGGGUUGUAAACCGCUUUCGCCGGUGACGAAGCGUGAGUGACGGUAAUGGGUAAAGAAGCACCGGCUAACUACGUG
RNAcentral lists this ribosomal RNA (468 nucleotides) under uncultured bacterium. Its description in RNAcentral is "partial 16S ribosomal RNA". It matches the Rfam family "Bacterial small subunit ribosomal RNA", at positions 28 to 507 of the family's 1533-position model. The record is from RNAcentral.